UUUUGAUCAGACAGAUAAACAACAGUUGACCAGAAAUGCUCACUUGUACCUUCGGAUCGGAUAACUCAGAAAACAAUGAAACUGAAAAGAUUUUACUAGCGGCAUUACUUCCCAUUGCAUGGUUCUUGUUUGUGCUCUUCCUCGAUGUUUUAUAAGGAGAAAGUGGUAUAAAAAGAUUUGCUGCCGAAGAAGACCCAUCAUCGACUCGAAACAGGACAAAAACCUACCUGUAUCAGAUUUACCAAUUUAUGCAGUAAGUGAAAAUGACAUCGUCAUUCCAGUAGAUACACAUCACAUCAACGACUGCAGAUUGUAAGAGGAAUUGUAGUUUCGACCUGAAAUAUAAACUGUUGAUUUUCCAAUUCUAUUGUGUCCAAAAAUAAAUGUCAGAGUCCAGUUUGAAAACUACAUGUACUUCCCAAAACCAGUUAAUACUAUUAUAACAUGAAAGUUGAAAUGUGGC
Saccostrea echinata is the source of this 463-nucleotide long non-coding RNA. RefSeq lists it as uncharacterized. Lineage: Eukaryota; Metazoa; Mollusca; Bivalvia; Ostreida; Ostreidae. The transcript has 3 exons. The record is from RefSeq and is a predicted model, not a curated record.